AGGUAGUAUAUUAAUUUAAAAAAUUCACAUAAAUUAUAACAAAGUGUUCCUACAUUUUCAUGGAGUUGAUUUCAUUUCCAUCCCAAUUGUUGGGAGCACCAGUCCCACGUGGAAAUCAACAAUUGUUAUAGGGGAAAGAGAGGGGAUGUAAAUAGAACUUGCUGGUAUGUGGUCACUAUAUGCAUGCUAAAUUGAAUAAUGUUGUUCGAAUUGGGUCACGUCGGCCUGUUCGAAUAGGGCAUUGAUGUGGGUCCCUAGACGGACAGGGCAAACUCUGCUAAAUUUGUUAAGCACUUAGGGUUCAUUUGAUUGCAAAGGUGAAAUUUGGGUGGAAAGAAAAUGAAUUUCAGGGAAUUGAAUUGAUGAGAAAUUAUUUUCCUGGGAAUUGUAAAUUAUUGUGUUUGAUUGGUAUAAUUUUUCACGUGAAAAAUGUUUAAAUUAAAGUGUUUUUUGAUGUCAUUUUGACUUUGUUUUACAUGAAAAUUGUCAAAUAAAGGGAUAUAAUUUAUUGGUAUUGGGGAUGAAAUUUGUUUUCAUUGCCAAAACAAAAAAAUAAAAAUUUCAAGAAAAUCAUUUAUCCUUUUAUGUUCGUUUGGCUUUGUUUUAUAUGAAAAUUGUCAAUUAAAAGAAAAUAUUUUUUUACAAUAAUUCUUAGAAUUUGUCUUCAUUGCGCAAAAAAAAAAUAAAUAAAAAAAAUUGAAAAAAGUUAAAAAAAAAUAAAAAUAAACAUGCUACAGUAACCUAGAAUUGCAAUUCUCACCAUAUCGAUGAGAAUUGCAAUUCCUUCAUUUGGUGGAAUUAGACUGAUGUGGCACAAAACAUGAAAAUGCAAUUAUAGAUCAUUAAAAUACUACCAAACACCAUUAAAUUGGAAGGUGGAAUUCCAAUUCCAUUUUUCCAUAGAAUUUCACAUCCAAUCAAACACUACUCUUAGUUCACUUUUCAAUUUUGCAAAACAUUCAAAAUUAGUUUGAUCUAAUUUUUUUGAAAAC
Molecule: long non-coding RNA, 992 nt
Filed under: Olea europaea subsp. europaea
Lineage: Eukaryota; Viridiplantae; Streptophyta; Magnoliopsida; Lamiales; Oleaceae
Source: RNAcentral